CCUACGGGUAGCAGCAGUGAGGAAUAUUGGUCAAUGGACGGAAGUCUGAACCAGCCAUGCCGCGUGCAGGAAGACGGCUCUAUGAGUUGUAAACUGCUUUUGUACAAGGGUAAACCUGAAUACGUGUAUUCAGCUGAAAGUACUGUACGAAUAAGGAUCGGCUAACUCCGUGCCAGCAGCCGCGGUAAUACGGAGGAUCCAAGCGUUAUCCGGAUUUAUUGGGUUUAAAGGGUGCGUAGGCGGAUUGAUAAGUUAGAGGUGAAAUGUCCGGGCUUAACGCGGGAACUGCCUCUAAUACUGUUGAGCGAGAGAGGAGAUGGGGUAGGCGGAAUGGAUGGGGUAGCGGGGAGAGGCGUAGAGAGGAGAGAG
Molecule: ribosomal RNA, 369 nt
Filed under: uncultured bacterium
Lineage: Bacteria
Description: partial 16S ribosomal RNA
Rfam family: Bacterial small subunit ribosomal RNA
Source: RNAcentral